This 292-nucleotide ribosomal RNA is filed under the name uncultured microorganism. RNAcentral describes it as "partial 16S ribosomal RNA". It matches the Rfam family "Bacterial small subunit ribosomal RNA", at positions 505 to 796 of the family's 1533-position model. The record is from RNAcentral.
GUGCCAGCAGCCGCGGUAAUACGUAGGUGGCAAGCGUUGUCCGGAUUUAUUGGGCGUAAAGCGAGCGCAGGCGGUUUCUUAAGUCUGAUGUGAAAGCCCCCGGCUUAACCGGGGAGGGUCAUUGGAAACUGGGGAACUUGAGUGCAGAAGAGGAGAGUGGAAUUCCAUGUGUAGCGGUGAAAUGCGUAGAUAUAUGGAGGAACACCAGUGGCGAAGGCGGCUCUCUGGUCUGUAACUGACGCUGAGGCUCGAAAGCGUGGGGAGCAAACAGGAUUAGAUACCCUGGUAGUCC